UGAGGAAGUUGGGCCAACACUCUGCCUUCUCCGAACUCUAGUCUAGAAAGAGAUCCUGGUACCAUCUGCCCUGCUUUUCACGCAUCCUUGGCUCUGGGCUGGAGGUGAGCUCAGGCUUGGCUAGUCAGCUCGGUCCCUCAGGUGAUGAGAGACUUGGGAAAGCCUGUUUUCUUAUCUGUAAAAUAGAUCUUGACCCCACCCUGCCUGCCUUCCUGCCUGCCAGCCGGCCAGGGCCGCCGGGAAGAUCAGGUGAGAGGAGGCAUAACUGGCUGGGUAACUCUGUCUGGCAGGGCACAGGAGUCUGGUUCUUACCUGGCUCCCAAGCUGGGAGAGCCGGCUUGCUCACCUGUCCAAAGGAGAGCACAGGGUUGAGAUACAGGAAGUGAGCAGGCUUCACCUUGAGAGUCUCUAGAGUCCCUGCCAUAGGGCGGGGUGGGCGGGGAGGGGUGGGGAGGGGGGCGGAGCCCUAGCAGCUUAUGACAGGCAGGGUACCUGGUCACACAGCCUUGUGGCCUUGGUGUGGGAUGCUAAGUUCAGCACAUGUUGAGCUUCUAGAAGAGUCUUGCAAAACAAACAAACAAACAAACAAACAAACAAAAACAAAAAAACUUGUUUCCAGUCAUCAAAGAAUUGGUUCAUGCUCGAGGCAGCAGGCCAGUGAACUCAGGGCCCAGCCUGAGCCGUACCCCACCCCCACCUCUACCUCCAGCCACCCUGCAUUCCACCCCCUGCUCAAAGGUUUGCUUUCUCUCAUCUUGCCUGUGGUACUGUGGCACCAACUGAGGCUCCAGGGUACAAACAAAGGUUUUGACAGGUGGGAUGCAGUACACACUCCUAGAUCCUCUCCCUACCUGAAAGGCCACAAGAAAGCAGUCAGUAAGACAAAGACUGCUAGGCUCCUGGCUAUAUUGGUCAGCUUGGCAGUUAGAACAACAUGCCAUCAUAGAGGAUUAAGCAACAACAUACAAAAAACAUGCUCACAUAAUUCUGGAGGCUGGACAUUCUGCCCCCACCCACUGAUGCUGGGUGAGUCACUUUCCUCUACUGGGCCUCAGUUAUAUGAUCUAUAAAAUGGGAACAGCCUGUGAUCUGCCCACCUCAUCUGUUUCAUAAAGAUCAAAGGUAGUUCUGUGGACAAGCAGGCUGGUAGUUGCAGCAAGUGAGGGUAAGUGGGAGGUUUCAAUUACCAUUGAGAUUAUUUGGAAAGAAGGUACCCUGGACUUUUGUUUUCUGAGGCGGGGUCUUAUCAUGUAGCCCAGGCAAUCUUGGAACUCACUAUGCAGACCAGGCUGACCUUGAAUUUACAGAGAUCUCACUGCCUCUGCCUAUGAAAUUCUGGGAUUAAACGAGUGUGCCACCACUUUUCAGUUACUAGAAUAAAGACUAAAAAUCAAGGCCAGCAAGAUAGUCAACAACUAGCUGUAAAUAAAAUAAAUCUUAACAGCCUGACUAGGCAGUCCUCGUUUACAGUUUAGUGCGAAGCAGGACUCAAGUAUGUGUCACCUCCAGCCCCCUUCCGGUUCUCAGUGAUGGAUGGAUGUACUGAGUGUAAUUCCAAGCCACUCUGCGAGUGUUAUGACCAAUCUCUUUAUUAAACACGGAUACAAAUUCUCCCAAGGUGUAAAAUGCCACUGAAAGACGCCAGCAGGAGGCAGGCUCUGCAGUACAAAUGCAUCCCGCUGUCAGGUAAAUUCGUGGACCCUGGGGCCCUGGCUCCCUCUCACCUUCCCUCUCAGGCCCUAUCUACUUUGCUUUGAAGACAGGAGCUAGAACAGUGCACCUCUGUUUGUAUCCAGAGGGGUUAAAAGCCCAAACCGGCAGGCUGAAUUCGCUCUCUGUGGGACCCUCUUUGUCUCAGCACUGCCUGCACCCGCCUGUGGCUGUCCAGGUUCCUUUGCUUUCUCCUGGCGCUGGGCUUCAGUUUCAGGCUAGACACUGCCAGGAGUGUAGGAUCGGUUUCCAAGGGGGUCUUUGCUCUUCUCUUUGUUCCCUGGCAGUGUCCAAGUAGGUGGUCAAACACUCUUGAAAAGACCCCAAGUUUGUGUGAACGAAAACGCCCGGGCCUGAGCAGGCUCCAGUUGAGGGGGCAGCGCGCCCUCUAGUGGCAGUCCUAGACUUU
Long non-coding RNA from Mus musculus (house mouse), 2119 nucleotides. RefSeq annotates it as predicted gene, 53947. The transcript has 2 exons. Lineage: Eukaryota; Metazoa; Chordata; Mammalia; Rodentia; Muridae. The record is from RefSeq and is a predicted model, not a curated record.